AGAAAAAGAAAAGGACUUUGUUCUGAGAGAUGCGCAUAGAAACAUUUGCCCCAUGAGGAGAAAUAGCAUUCUCUCCUGAACGUGAAGCCAGCUCUUGGUGUUGCUUCACUGCAAUUGCCAUUUGCCAUUGAUGGUUGUUCUUCUCUCUUCUGGGCGAAUAGAGGGAGAGGAUGCAAUCUGAGUGGU
RNAcentral lists this small nucleolar RNA (186 nucleotides) under Nannospalax galili (Upper Galilee mountains blind mole rat). RNAcentral's name for it is "Small nucleolar RNA U3 (ENSNGAG00000007916.1)". It matches the Rfam family "Small nucleolar RNA U3". Rfam says of the family: Small nucleolar RNAs (snoRNAs) are involved in the processing and modification of rRNA in the nucleolus. There are two main classes of snoRNAs: the box C/D class, and the box H/ACA class. U3 snoRNA is a member of the box C/D class. Lineage: Eukaryota; Metazoa; Chordata; Mammalia; Rodentia; Spalacidae. The record is from RNAcentral.